RNAcentral lists this ribosomal RNA (253 nucleotides) under uncultured bacterium. Its description in RNAcentral is "partial 16S ribosomal RNA". It matches the Rfam family "Bacterial small subunit ribosomal RNA", at positions 524 to 776 of the family's 1533-position model. The record is from RNAcentral.
UACAGAGGGUGCUAGCGUUGUUCGGAAUCAUUGGGCGUAAAGGGCGUGUAGGCGGUUUGUUCAGUCAUGUGUGAAAUCCCUCGGCUCAACCGGGGAACGACGCAUGAAACUGGCAAGCUAGAGUACCAAAGAGGGGGGUGGAAUUCCCGGUGUAGCGGUGAAAUGCGUAGAUAUCUGGAGGAACACCGGUGGCGAAGGCGGCAUCCUGGACCAAUUCUGACGCUGAGGAGCGAAAGCUAGGGGAGCAAACGGG